This 587-nucleotide long non-coding RNA is filed under the name Homo sapiens (human). Its description in RNAcentral is "HSALNT0006441". The record is from RNAcentral. Lineage: Eukaryota; Metazoa; Chordata; Mammalia; Primates; Hominidae.
UUUGGGUUUGCGCCUAACUUAAUUCCGAUACGCGCGUCAAAAUGUUGUGUAGGCUGGGGCCUGGGGAGGCGUUCAGGAGGGCCAACCAGGAAGAUGACAUCCAGCCCACAUUUGUCUCUGUGGCUGACGCUCUGAGGUUUGGCGCUCUGGAGAAACGUUGAAAGAAAACUAAAGAUGGGCAGUGGUCGGGCAGGAUAACUCAUCCUCCUAAAGCGUUUGUGAGCAAAACAAAUGUUGAUUGGGUUUUUUGGAGCGGAAUUACUCUGUUCUUUAAGGUCGGCGCAGACACGUACCAGCAGAGAACCUGUAGACAGGACAGAGGUUUCCAGCUCUAGUUUCGGGAACGGAUUUUUCCGCGGGCUAGUGGGCGCGGCGCGGCGCAGGGCGGAGCGGGCACCGCCUCCUUCCGUAGCGGAGCGAGAGCUGCCGCUCGAGGCUGAGGCCGCUCCGGAGGCCUGGAGGCUUCGGACUGCUGGACUAGUGGGGAAGGAAGGCGGUUUCCUCCGCAGCGCCCCGGUGCUGCACUCCGCACCGUCACCUUCUGGGUUGUUUCUGGCGCUCCCUCUGCUCUCAGCCUCGAGUCCUGG